This 76-nucleotide transfer RNA is filed under the name Candidatus Marinamargulisbacteria bacterium. RNAcentral describes it as "tRNA-Lys". It matches the Rfam family "tRNA". Rfam says of the family: Transfer RNA (tRNA) molecules are approximately 80 nucleotides in length. Their secondary structure includes four short double-helical elements and three loops (D, anti-codon, and T loops). Lineage: Bacteria; Bacillati; Candidatus Margulisiibacteriota; Candidatus Marinamargulisbacteria. The record is from RNAcentral.
GAUUCGGUAGCUCAGUUGGUAGAGCACCUGACUUUUAAUCAGGUGGUCGUGGGUUCGACCCCCACCCGAAUCACCA